UACGUAGGGAGCAAGCGUUGUCCGGAAUCAUUGGGCGUAAAGCGCGCGUAGGUGGCCUCGUAAGUCCGCUGUGAAAGUCAAAGGCUCAACCUUUGAAAGCCGGUGGAUACUGUGAGGCUAGAGUACGGAAGAGGCGAGUGGAAUUCCUGGUGUAGCGGUGGAAUGCGCAGAUAUCAGGAGGAACACCAAUAGCGAAGGCAGCUCGCUGGGACGUAACUGACACUGAGGCGCGAAAGCGUGGGGAGCGAACAGG
RNAcentral lists this ribosomal RNA (253 nucleotides) under uncultured bacterium. RNAcentral's name for it is "partial 16S ribosomal RNA". It matches the Rfam family "Bacterial small subunit ribosomal RNA", at positions 524 to 776 of the family's 1533-position model. The record is from RNAcentral.